GUGCUCGAAGUACUUCCCUUGAAGGAGAUGUAGUGUUUACACAGAUCCCAUGGUUGCUGUGAGAUCGUCUCAAACAUCCUUCGACAAGCCAGAAAGGGAAAGGAAGAGAUGCUGAGAGGCAGCAGCACUGCAGUAAGAAAUGAGCAGGAACUCUGUGGAAGCGGUUCUUCACCACACUUCACUACAUGGUGGCAUAAUCUGUUAGGCACUGCACAAACAGGCACUUGUGUUCAUGGUGGGGAGCUGCCGGGGCAGGGGAUGUGAUUUUUUGCAGUGCUUGGCCUGCUGAUACUUCCAGCACAGCAGGGUGGUCACCUGUAUCAUUCCUCAUAAACUACAGAACAGCUGUCAGUGGGAAAGGACG
Long non-coding RNA from Gallus gallus (chicken), 364 nucleotides. The record is from Ensembl. Lineage: Eukaryota; Metazoa; Chordata; Aves; Galliformes; Phasianidae.